UACGAAGGGGGCUAGCGUUGCUCGGAAUCACUGGGCGUAAAGGGUGCGUAGGCGGGUCUUUAAGUCAGGGGUGAAAUCCUGGAGCUCAACUCCAGAACUGCCUUUGAUACUGAAGAUCUUGAGGUCGGGAGAGGUGAGUGGAACUGCGAGUGUAGAGGUGAAAUUCGUAGAUAUUCGCAAGAACACCAGUGGCGAAGGCGGCUCACUGGCCCGAUACUGACGCUGAGGAGCGAAAGCAUGGGGAGCGAACAGG
RNAcentral lists this ribosomal RNA (253 nucleotides) under uncultured bacterium. Its description in RNAcentral is "partial 16S ribosomal RNA". It matches the Rfam family "Bacterial small subunit ribosomal RNA", at positions 524 to 776 of the family's 1533-position model. The record is from RNAcentral.